Molecule: long non-coding RNA, 1007 nt
Filed under: Prunus persica (peach)
Lineage: Eukaryota; Viridiplantae; Streptophyta; Magnoliopsida; Rosales; Rosaceae
Description: long non-coding RNA (PPER_LNC000852)
Source: RNAcentral
AAAGAUCCCUGAUCUGCAGCCUCUUCAGCGUCCACCUGAUCAACCACGCUCUCAGCAGCUCCACAUGCCUGAUCUAUGACGUCUGCCAUUACCUCAUCAGCUACAUCCUCCUCUGCUUCACCCUUUCCAGUUGCCGCCUCUUCAGCUCAUUUCAUGUUCACAGCGUUAAGCUGCUCACUUUGCACAGGGAGCAAGUCAGGAUAGAGCAUCUUGAUGUCUUUAUCCCUAAUGGCAUAGAAGGGAUCAUUUCCAUUUGUACAGUCCAAGUAGCCCAACUUGUACGCAUCCAUGGCAGCUUCAGACUUGGAUUCUUCAACAGACUUAUGAUAGGUGCGAAAUCUAGCCAAAAGCUUGUCAUAGCUAUGAGAAAUCUACACGGAAGUAAGGAUCUUUUAUACUUGCCAAGUCAACAGCAGAAGAGUUAAGCUCGGAAUCCUUCUCAGCAAGGGAACUCUUCAACUCAGAUACCAUCUUCAAAAGACAUGGUCAACGGACAACUGCACGAAGAGAAGAAAAUUCUAGAAGUUAGAAUACAAAAAAAAAAAAAAAAGGGCAGUAGUAGAAAAAAAGAAAGGGUUGGAAAAAAGAAAGAAACAGCCCAGUAUGAACAGCCCAACGCGUGCACCCCAUCCUCUAGCCCAGCAUGAAGGCCCACAUUGCGCAGACCAGCGUAUGCUCUAGCACGCAUCCUGGCCCAGUUCCAUCGAAGCCCAGCUAGCACCUCCAAGCUGAGCGCACAUCUCAGCCUGGCCCGUUCUCCAGCUCAAGCACGCAAGGCCCGCUUGCCUAGCCCAGGCCCACGUCGCGGGCAAGGCCCAGCCCGUCUCCAAGCCUUUGCUCCAAAGCCCAGUGCCUCCAUCCUUCUGCCUUGGGCUCUGCUCUUACAUGCUUUCCAUUCAAGCCUAGCGCACGCAAGCCCAGCUCUAGUUCUUUGGCGCAUGCUGGCCCUGCCAACUCCAUUCCAAAUCUUUGUCCAUAGACUAACGAACUUGCAACUCAUGCUGGAC